Molecule: ribosomal RNA, 404 nt
Filed under: uncultured bacterium
Lineage: Bacteria
Description: bacterial SSU rRNA
Rfam family: Bacterial small subunit ribosomal RNA
Source: RNAcentral
AGGGAAUAUUGCACAAUGGAGGAAACUCUGAUGCAGCGACGCCGCGUGAGUGACGAAGGCCUUCUGGUUGUAAAGCUCUGUUCUCAGGGAAAAAGCAAGUGAUUGUACCUGAGGAGAAAGGACCGGCUAACUUCGUGCCAGCAGCCGCGGUAAGACGAGGGGUCCAAGCGUUGUUCGGAAUCAUUGGGCGUAAAGCGGGUGUAGGCGGCUCUAUAAGUCAGGAGUGAAAGCCCCGAGCUCAACUCGGGAAGUGCUUUUGAUACUGCAGAGCUUGAAUGUGGGAGAGGGUAGUGGAAUUCCAGGUGUAGUGGUGAAAUACGUAGAUAUCUGGAGGAACACCGGUGGCGAAGGCGGCUACCUGGCCCAACAUUGACGCUGAGACCCGAAAGCGUGGGGAUCAAACA